Molecule: long non-coding RNA, 997 nt
Organism: Phacochoerus africanus (Common warthog)
Lineage: Eukaryota; Metazoa; Chordata; Mammalia; Artiodactyla; Suidae
Exons: 4
Source: RefSeq, a predicted model, not a curated record
UUCCUGAUAUCACUUCUCUUUUCAUUUCAUUGUGACAACUGCGGACUCUAAGAUCCAAGUGUAUCAGUAACACGUUGUAUUCAUUUAUUGUUUCUACGUGGUAUGAGAAGAAAGAGAAGUCUCAUCUUCUUAGCUUGCUCCAUGAUACGAAAUCUUCACACCAGCAAUUCCUCACCCAUGAACACAGACCGUGUUGAAAAUCUGUCUGGCCAGGGGUGUUAAGUGAGCUUUCCUGUGCACUCGACCAGAUAAUGCUGUCAUGGUUUCUGUACGUGACAUCAAGAUUGGAAGACCUGAAGCUGGAGUCUUGGACAUGUCAGUGUCCCAUCUGGGAGAUGGUGGUCUCUUACGGCAAGCUUCCUCUUCCCCACCUCCUUACCAAAACCUUCAUCACCACAUGCAUUCUUGACAUCCCACCCCCUCCAAGAAGCUGCAUGGUUUGGGGGCAGUGAUGUUCUCUGCUGAAAUAAUGAUUUCCUGUCUCCUUUUCUGCUGGUGGUGGACUUGGGGAAUAUCUCAUCAAUAGGGCUCUUGGAUUCAGGUAUGGAGACCUCUGCCCUGAGCUCCACACCUCAGAAGACCCACAUACCACAAACAGAAAACAAAGAAGUGAUUAAGGAUGCAAAUGCCUCCAUCACUUAGGAUGUGUCCUUGAGCUUGGACAUAUCCUAAACUUCUGCUCUCAGGACUUACCCUCCUCAGGUCCAGGAAAUUGGAAGUGUUUCACAUCUUUUGUCUUCUGUAUGCAAAGCAAAAGCCAGGUAACGUAAAUGCUGGGAAGCAUAGUGUGUCAUGCUGCAGACUUUAGAAAAGAUCUUGAUUUGAAGUCAGAGAGGAUGUAAGCGUCAGGGGAGCUUAGACAAGAAACAAAGAUACAUUGAUUUGUCAAAUUCUCCCUCUCAUAUGCAUCAAUGAAUGAGAUUCUUCUAUAAUAAAGGAUCAUUUUAGAGUAGUGCUGCACUUCCAUGUUCUUUCUUCUUUUUGUGCCCUAAUGUGA